RNAcentral lists this ribosomal RNA (467 nucleotides) under uncultured bacterium. Its description in RNAcentral is "partial 16S ribosomal RNA". It matches the Rfam family "Bacterial small subunit ribosomal RNA", at positions 28 to 507 of the family's 1533-position model. The record is from RNAcentral.
GACGAACGCUGGCGGCGUGCUUAACACAUGCAAGUCGAACGGAAAGGCUCCAGCUUGCUGGAGUACUCGAGUGGCGAACGGGUGAGUAACACGUGGGUAAUCUGCCCUGCACUCUGGGAUAAGCCUGGGAAACUGGGUCUAAUACUGGAUAUGACCUUUCUCCUUAUGGGGUUUGGUGGAAAGUUCUUCGGUGUAGGAUGAGCCCGCGGCCUAUCAGCUUGUUGGUGGGGUGAUGGCCUACCAAGGCGACGACGGGUAGCCGGCCUGAGAGGGUGAUCGGCCACAUUGGGACUGAGAUACGGCCCAGACUCCUACGGGAGGCAGCAGUGGGGAAUAUUGCACAAUGGGCGGAAGCCUGAUGCAGCGACGCCGCGUGAGGGAUGACGGCCUUCGGGUUGUAAACCUCUUUCAGCAGGGACGAAGCGUAAGUGACGGUACCUGCAGAAGAAGCACCGGCUAACUACGUG